Molecule: RNA transcript, 3420 nt
Organism: Dendronephthya gigantea
Lineage: Eukaryota; Metazoa; Cnidaria; Anthozoa; Malacalcyonacea; Nephtheidae
Gene name: ATP-dependent DNA helicase Q1-like
Exons: 5
Source: RefSeq, a predicted model, not a curated record
UCGGCCGUUCAAAAUACCCACAUUUCGUGGGUAUUUUGAAUAAGCAUAAUUUAUGCCUAAAUAUUUUCAAAAUGGCGGCGUCUAAUAUUGUCAAGUAUAUUGGAAUUGCACUUAAUUCCGCAAACUUUCCGCCAUUAAAUCUCAAGCCACUUCAAGUAAAGUGUCUGGAGUAUAUUUUGAAUGGCAAAGACGUAAUCGGGGUCUUACCUACAGGGUUUGGCAAGUCAUUAAUUUUUCAUAUUCUACCGUAUUUCAUGCCAACUAAGAAGCGCAGCAAUAUUGUUCUAGUUAUUUGUCCUCUAAAUUCAAUAAUUGAAGACCAACUGAAAAUCUUGAAGGAUAGAGGUAUCUCGGCUAAUGUACUUGUUGGAAGAAGCAAAGAUCGUAGCGAGAUUGAAAAGUUGUUCUCAUCGUCACCAGCUACUGAAGACAAAUCGUCCAACGAAAACCUUAGUCACCUUACUGAGGAAGACUAUCAAAUCCCGAACGACAUACUAAAUGGAGAAUGUUCGAUUGUAUUUGCCCACCCAGAAGCUCUAUUAAGCAAAGAAGGACGAAAAUUAAUGACAAGUCAAAUUUACCAAGACAAUGUUGUAGCUUGUGUAAUUGAUGAGGCACAUUGUGUUGAGCUAUGGGGCGAGGAGUUUCGAACAGACUUUAAAGACCUAUCCUCACUAAAAGCAUUCUUUCCAUUGGUUCCAACUAUUGCGCUGACAGCAACAGCUUCACCAGUAAUGUUGGAAAAGUUGAAAAAAAGUCUUCUGCUUGCCAGCUGCAAAAUUGUGUCUGUCAACCCAAACAGAAUGAAUAUAUACCUGGAAAAAAAGAUUCGACUUAGCAACAACGUGGGUAAUGAGAGUUAUAGAGCCAUUAUUGAACCAAUUGCUCAGGAGCUAGCAAUUAGAAGAGAGAAAUACCCAAUGACAAUUAUAUAUUUAAAGUUGAAAUAUUGUGGAUAUGCUUACUCUCUAUUUGAGAGAAUUCUGAAGGAUGACCAAUAUGUGGGGAACUCAAAAGAGCCAGCUGGGAGACUUUUUGCACAAUUCCACUCCCCACAAACUGACCGUAUGAAAAAGGAAAUCAUAAGAGAGAUAAAGAAAGAAGACUCAAGGUUUUGACAUGAUGUUUGUAAUGCAAAUAGCAACUUUCAAACUGGAGGAACAAUGACAAUGAUCAAAGGAAUCCCGAGAUGUAUGCUGGACAGAUUUUUUGUGAAUUCCAAUAGAACAAUCAACUGCUUCUGUAACUUGACUUAUCCCUGUUGUUGCUCUGCAGAUUUUACUAAUGGAGUUCAAAGUUUUGUUUGCACCCAUGCGUUGGACAAUACUCUUUGACACUUUGUUGUAUAUUUCCUGUGCCAAGUCGUCCUCAAUAUUCUUCCCUGCACCUCCUCGAUAGUUCACAAAGAAUCCCCAUUUGAAUUCUUCUGACAAUCUAGGGGUCAAGAGGCAUUCAAUCUGUGCUAUGCUAACAAACAUCUCGAUAGCAUAUUUGCUGUAACUUCCCAUUGAUUUGAAUACAGCCAGUAACAGUUUUUGAUUGAUCAGAUUUCUGUUGCCAUCAGCUUCUUUAGCAGUAUCUUUCAUUUGUAAUAGCAGAAUAGACAAGAAGAUGAAACACAACCCAUAGUUCAUGACAUAGUCUUCAUCAUCAUACGACUCGUUGGUACCUUUCUGCAGGACCAUUCUGUCAACGAAUUGCCCAAAAACAUUGUCAUAGUAUCUUGUCUUGCUUUCUUUGUUUGCCCUCCUGAUGUUGUCGGGGAAAACAUGGUCAGUAGGUUUGUCGUCAAGCUUUUUCAUACCAAAAAACUUAAGAACAGCAGCAACAAUGUAAGCUUUUCCCACGCUUAUAAACAAGUCCUCGCUUCCUUCGUAAGAGUCAAGAACUUUGGAUGGUGUAGCAUUCUUACGGUGAUACUUCUCUCUAAAAUACUUUAAUGUCCCAACCUGGUUUACGGACUCUGAUUUGUGAAGAAAUGAAUACGAAUAUUGGAGAAGUGAAGCUUUGGUAUGCCACAUCACAGGUUUGAAAGGCGAGCAAUGCUCAAACCUAUCUGAAGGCGUAUGAGACCCUGACAAAAGAUCCUUCGCACCAGCAAAACGCACUCUCGUUAACUGAUCCCCGGCAAAUGCAAUCUUCAUAUCUCUCAUUUGAUCAUUCGGAGUUGCUGCUUGAUGGGCAUGCGUCUGACCAGGGGCCGCAGGUCCAGCAGGCACUGGUGGAUUCUCUAUGGGGGGCAUUUCUUUGAGAAAACCAGCUUGAACAUAUAUUUCAGAAAUCCACUUUUCGUAAGUACGAAGGAUGGAAACACAAUCUUCAUAUUUUGCCUCAUUGGCAUUUAUUAUAGGCAUGCUAACAAUGGUUGACUGCUGUUCCAUUUCUUUACUGUAAACAUGUGAGAUAUGUUCCGGAACAACACCAUUUAGAAACUUGAAAUGGGGAAGAUAUUGAAGAACAAUCCGACCUACAAUAACCUUGGCAUUGUUUGCAUACUGUUUCCACUCAUUUACAUUUAAAGAAAAUGUGGAACGUGGAAGGUCGUCAAUGUUCCUCUUUGGCAUAUCAUUUGAAUCCUUAGAUCCCAAUUAUCUCCUGUACCACGGAAUACCUUUCCUUUCCUGAUCUUAUUGACAACUUGAUCAGAAAAAUGGCCUCCAAGCAUCCUGAUGAGUGCAUCCCUUCUUGAUGUGGACAGACACACCCCAAGCUUGUUCAAUCUUUCUUGUAACUACCAGAAAAAAUACACCUUUGCCUUUCUUUAAGCAGAGAUAGAAAUUCAUUAAAGAUAAUCUUGCACUUUCACAAUUUCACAAAAAAGUACAAAUUAUCUUAAGUGAAUUUUUAUUUUUGCUUAAUGAAGGGCAAAUGGAAGGGACAUUUCUGUGCAAUAUUAGCAAGGUUAUCUGCGUGUAAAGCCCGGAUCAAACGAGGACGAAAGUCCAUCGCAAAUUCAACUUGCGAAGUACUUGAACUUCCUGUUCAAACGUUUUAAAAAAUUGCGAUGAAAAUUUUAAAUUAUUCAAUGUUGUCGGAAGUCAACUCAAGUCAUCGCAAGUGGACAGUCACACGAGGUACAAGCAUGCACGCGCAAAACCUGAAGCAAAAACUUGCGAUGGACUUGCGUUCUAGUUUGAUCCGGGCUUAGCCCCGAGACUGGUUGACAUUUACAGUCCAUUAAACAUUUUUACAGACAGUAAUAAUAUGCACGUGCCUAUACUCAACAAUCAGAAAAUACAUGUUUGAUUGAUUCGUUAGGCAAAUUUUAAUUUGCGGCGAUUCGAAUGUAUUUUGCAUUUCUGUGCGAGCAUGUUGAUAAACAAGAUGCGAGUCAUGCGACCCUUCAUGUAGCAUUAUAAACAGGGAAUGAAACUUUAUUUGCCCUACAUUCUAGACAGAAAUCUCCUAAAGAAAGUAAGU